Molecule: non-coding RNA, 205 nt
Organism: Cinara cedri
Lineage: Eukaryota; Metazoa; Arthropoda; Insecta; Hemiptera; Aphididae
Source: the annotation of a GenBank genome assembly
AAUAAACUAAUGAAUUGUAUAAAGGUUUGAGAACAACUGGAUUUGAAAAGUUUUUACAGUUUCUGGUUAUAAAACUUAAGAUAAAGAUUUGGAAAUAGUAUGAACAAUGUGCUUAUUAAUACACAUGUAAUUACUUAACCAUAAUAUGGCAUAUAUACUGUUGACAAAGCAACAUUAUUAACCGAACUCCAUUCGAAUCCUUCCA